GGGGGCGAAAUGGUUUCGACUGAAAAGGUAGAACUUCGGCCGCAUGCGGAGGAUGAUCGUUGGCCUCCUUAAUCAUCGGUCAAAAAAGUAACUGCGAACACUGAGUACGCACUCGCGGCAUAAGCCGCACGUCUCUCCCGCCACGCCUGAUAACGGGAGAGGCGAAAGCAUCAGGCUGGCAAGGGACGCCGGGCAGGCGGGCGUCACCGGCGAGAAGUAACAGCACGCUGCUUCCAUUAUGCGCCCGCCCGGCGCCUCAGUAAUGGAUUAAGACUUAAGCCGGGACUAAGCAUGUAGAAGUCGUCGCGAAACCUCUUCAGGACGCGGGUUCAACUCCCGCCGCCUCCACCA
Molecule: transfer-messenger RNA, 351 nt
Filed under: Victivallales bacterium
Lineage: Bacteria; Pseudomonadati; Lentisphaerota; Lentisphaeria; Victivallales
Rfam family: transfer-messenger RNA
About the family: Bacterial tmRNA, also known as 10Sa RNA or SsrA, is named for its dual tRNA and mRNA-like properties. Its role is to liberate the mRNA from a stalled ribosome.
Source: RNAcentral